AUGGCGUCGAUGGCUGCCUACAGCAGAAUUCUGGUACAACUCGUCUUUCCAUUCCCCGAUCAAAUGCUCCCCCUUAAAGCUCUAUACGGAGUGGAGCCCAACCUGGGCGCCAUGGCACUCUGGGAUGACAAGACGGUGCCCAUGAUCAACGGCAAGCCCUGGGACUGGGGUGUGCACAUGACGCGGCUGCGCGAGCACAUUCUCCGUGCCCAUCAUCGAUUCAAGAAGCAGGUCGAUCAGCACCGCACCGAGCGCUCCUUCAAAGUGGGCGACGCUAUUCUCCUCAAGCUCCAACCCUAUGCGCAGUCGUCGGUGGCGAACAGACCCUGCGCCAAGCUGGCGUACAAGUAUUUUGGGCCAUUCACGGUGAUCGACAAGAUCAGCAAGCUGGCGUACAAAUUGGAGUUGCCGGCGGACAACAAGAUCCACCCCGUCUUCCACGUGUCACAGCUCAAGCCGUUCACCCCCAACUAUACACCGAUCUUCUCUGAGCUGCCCCGACCGCCAGACCUCACCGGCCACGACGACAAACCGUCGGAGAUCCUGGAGCGAUGCAUGAUCAAGCGCGGCAACAGCGCCCUGGUGCAGGUCAAGGUGCGCUGGCCCAACGACGAGACGGCGAUGACUUGGGAGGACCAUGACACCCUUCGCCGCCGAUUUCUACAAGGACCGGCGUGGGACACACCAUCGAUCGGCGACGAUGAGCAGCAAGCAGCUCCUGAAGACGAUGCCUGUUCUGAAGGAGUGGGGAAUGCCACACCGGCAUCACCAGGAGAUGAUGCGGUGGACGCGUGA
This 795-nucleotide ribosomal RNA is filed under the name Triticum aestivum (bread wheat). RNAcentral's name for it is "partial small subunit ribosomal RNA". The record is from RNAcentral. Lineage: Eukaryota; Viridiplantae; Streptophyta; Magnoliopsida; Poales; Poaceae.